GAUCAUGGCUCAGGAUGAACGCUAGCUACAGGCUUAACACAUGCAAGUCGAGGGGCAGCAUGAUUGAAGCUUGCUUCAAUUGAUGGCGACCGGCGCACGGGUGAGUAACACGUAUCCAACCUUCCGUACACUCAGGGAUAGCCUUUCGAAAGAAAGAUUAAUACCUGAUGGUAUCUUAAGCACACAUGUAAUUAAGAUUAAAGAUUUAUCGGUGUACGAGUGGGGAUGUCCG
This 232-nucleotide ribosomal RNA is filed under the name uncultured bacterium. RNAcentral describes it as "partial 16S ribosomal RNA". It matches the Rfam family "Bacterial small subunit ribosomal RNA", at positions 15 to 239 of the family's 1533-position model. The record is from RNAcentral.